GUACACAAGCGACACCUGCGGAUUUCAAUCAUGGCACACGAAACUCGCCAGAACUGUCAAGUUGCCAGGGGGUUGAUUAUAACUGAUAGUCUCAGCUCUGUUGAAGCAAUCCGCUCUAUAAAACCAGGAAAAUUCACGCCGUACUUCCUCGAAAUGAUACGAGAUAUAUUGACCACUUUAUCAAGACGUUGCUUUUCUAUCACCUUUAUCUGGGUCCCCUCACAUUGCUCAAUAGCAGGCAAUGAGAGGGCAGAUUCCCUUGCAAAAGUGGGUGCGAUGGAAGGCAACAUUUACCAGCGUGAAAUCGUAUUCAACGAAUUUUACUUCUUGGCUCGAAGAAACUCUCUUGUCAACUGGCAGCGUAGAUGGGACGAGGAUGAGUUGGGUCGGUGGUUCCACUCGAUUAUCCCAAAGUGUUCGACGAGCGCCGCCGUUCUCAAGUUAAGAUUCGCUGAACAAGGAUCAGGAAAAGUUCAAUUGAUGGAGAAAGCGACGAAAAGGAAAACGAUCCAAAAAGAAUGGAUUCCUCAUGAUACCUAAAAACAUCCAGAACCCGCGGAAAAUAUUACCUGGAUGGAAGACGCCUAUAAAAACUACAGGCUACGGCUACGACCCCUACCGAUAAUGCGGAUGCAGAAAAACUGGAUCGGUUUUUUCUACGUUGAUGACUAUCGGAGCGUAAAGAUAAGGUGUGAAGCGAAUGACCUUCGGCCGAAUGGCUUUCGGCGGAAUGACCCAGCCUCAAUUUACCCACAGAUCAACCAUUUCCGAUCUAUUCCACCUAGUUUCACAACCAUGAAAUGUAGAAUAGUCGAGUUUUUGACGAAUAUAAAUAUUUCCAUUUUCACGUUCACAAGAACUGUAAAUUCACCUUAGGAACGACAAAUACACACAGAUGAAUUUGUAGUUGAUUCUAUACGAACUGCGUCAUGCGAUUAAUAAGCCACAUAAGCCAGCCAUUUAACACGAACCGCCGAAUCCAGUGGAACAUCAGGGAAAAGACGAAAUAGCGAUACCGUCGAAUACGAGAGAUACCUACACUUAACAUCAUGCACCCUGCUACCCUGAACUAGUUCAAGACAAUGAGAGAUAAGAAUACAAAAAUUUUGAGAUAUCAAAAACAAUAAUUUUAUAAGUUUUUUUCGCUACACUAAUCAAGCUCGGAUAGUUCGGAAUAAUAAUACAAUUCUAUUCCUACUUAUAAGAUAUUUAUUCGUGUACAGUAAAUCAAUAAAAUUUAAAACUAAAAGAUAUAUUUUAAGUGUUUUUGGUUUGUGAUUUAACACAUUUAAUACAUUUUUUAUAUUUAUUUUAUAUUUUUAACUGUGGAUACCUUUUUAACGAUUUUUAAAACGAGUAAACUAAAAAAGCAAUGAUUUUUCCACAUAAUUUUGAAAGAACAAAUAGUUUUAAUUCAUACUGAUGCAAGUGCAUAUAUUCAUCAUUCCAUGAAAGCAGAACAAAUAUCACCAUUGAAAACUGAACAAAAUGCGCAAAUGUAAAGAUUGACUUCUCUUGCGCAUCUGUAAAGGGAUAGCAAUAAAUAAACAAGAAUGGCUGAAGAAGUGUUGUGAAAAGGAAUUUUUAAAAGGUAUUGAUACAAGCAUGUCAGUUCAUAAAAAAUAUACAGACAAAAUACAUUUCCAGAGCAGUCAUUUAUAGCAGUUUUUUUUAUUCCACUGGCUCAGUGACGACCUAUCACUCAUAUUAAAAAAAAUCAAGACUGCCUGACUUGGUGUCAUGUUCAUCUACUCACACACUCAAUAGCACCCUGACAUGGGGCACUGG
Molecule: long non-coding RNA, 1788 nt
Organism: Uranotaenia lowii
Lineage: Eukaryota; Metazoa; Arthropoda; Insecta; Diptera; Culicidae
Exons: 3
Source: RefSeq, a predicted model, not a curated record